This is a long non-coding RNA of Dreissena polymorpha, 2270 nucleotides long. RefSeq lists it as uncharacterized. The record is from RefSeq and is a predicted model, not a curated record. Lineage: Eukaryota; Metazoa; Mollusca; Bivalvia; Myida; Dreissenidae. The transcript is spliced from 10 exons.
AGCCAUUUUGUGCUUUUGGAUUGAGUCAGCCACAUAACUUGUUAAUUUAAUAAUUUAAUGGUCAUGAAAUAAUUUCUAUGGCCAUUCUCUCUCUGAUUCUAGUACGGCAAUUGUCUGUUACUGGCAUAAGUAUAUGUACUCAGUAAGGCCAGGAAAAGGUUAAUUUAAUGACCACACUACUAUGACUAAAAUGCAUUUUAAUGUGUGUAGAGGUCAAUUAAAAAAUUAUAAAAUUCCUGUACUUUUUAGCUGUUUCAUACAGGACCCCGUACAAUCACAGAUUGGUGCCCAGCUGAACAACAGACUCUCUCACUUAAGCCAGGCCUGAACGCAUGGGGUCACUUCCUGUGUAUGGGUGGCCAAAUGUCAAACUAGUACCAAUCUGUGCCCAAAAAGCAGCCGUAGCCGUGGGGGGCAGGUUCAUGAUGCAACCGUGGUCUCAUUGCUCUCUGAACAUCUCUUUCCCAACAGCAACAGUACAGCAACAUGACCUGGGUCAUACCGUUGCCAGUUCAAGAUUAGAGGACCAUGUUCCCCAAAUCCAAUGUGGCCCUAUAUCUCAACAGGAAUACCUCGCAGAGCUAAUGAACAGAGCCAGUGCGUAGAACAUGAUUUUUAGGAGGAAUAGGAACCUAGGCCCAAUAUCAACCUGGUUCCAAUCUCGCGAAGAUGUCCACCGGCCGCCCCCUAGCACAAGCCUCGUUAGCCCCAAGGUGUUGUCAUGAUGCCCCUGGACAACAGCUCUUGUUGGGCUCUUCCCAAUAGCAGUAGAUCAACAUGGCAUAUCAGCAUGAUGCCCCAAACCAGCGCUUCAUAUUUAGCUACCAGCAGUAUCCAUGCAACCAAACCUUGAUCACUCAGCAACAGAUAAAUCAGCAGCAGGGAUGGAGUUAGCCGUUUCAACGUCUGCUCAGUUGCCUCUCAGAGCCAGUCGGCUUGCCGUGUUGCUUAGCCAAUCCACUAUUUAUGUCGCAGCACAAUAUCUCAUCUGGAUCCAUUCCACUGCUGGCGCAACAGCAGGUCUGUUCUCUGUACAGAGCCGUUUCUAUGAAGAUGAAGUCCUACAACUUGCCCAGUUCUUGCUUUUGCGUCAGGGUCAGGUUCAAGGCCUCAUGGGCUUUGGUGGUCUGGGCAAGAUGGGAAUGUUAGACAGAUUGCGCAUUGCAGCAACAACAACAGUUAAGAAAAUAGCAACAGCAUAAUAGACAGACACAGCAGCAAUGGCCACAGCACCAACAAUAGCAGUAACAGAUGAUGGCUUAGCUUCAUCAGCAAUAGCAGAAGCAACAAGAUCUUACGUCCAUGGACCAUUUAGAUGUCACUUUAGAAAUUCAGAAGAUCUUUAUGAAAGAAUAAACGAGGUAACAUCUGAACAUUGCAUCUAUGACUACAAUGAGGAAGUGAAAAGGGAGGAGACAAAGAAAUACAAAGAAAUUUUUAACAGCUUUACUUAAAAUUGUAAACAUGGAUUUCAUGGCAUUUAGUUUGGUUUGGAAGCAGUUACUAUCGCAGAACUCGAGCCAGCAAAGGUCAUUCUCACAGGAAUCCAGUAUCUCCAUGGUGCAGGACCCACAGUCUAUGAACGUUGUGGAGCUUGAACCUUGGACGCCAAUUGAAAAAUAUCCAAACCGUCCAAUCAGAAAGACAGUCUGUUGCAGCAGUUAUUCAAACCUAGGAUGCUUAGUGAUAAACAUAAAUAAACACAUGCUAGUCCCUAAGUGCCUGCAUUGGCUGUUUUAAAGCCUUGCUGUCCAUUCUGAACACUUAAAUGGAAGCUCUCACCUUAGAAUUUUGGGAUAGGUCGAAACCCAGUGGCAUGGUGCAGACUAACAUCGCAGAAUGACAAAGAAGUACAAGCCUGUGACCAGCAAUAAACUAAUGUGGCCAGCUAUGUUGUGUCAUGUGACCAGCCAAGCUGUGUGUAAAGAGAAAACUAUAGUUCAUGUCUUGUGGGAUUUAUGACGCUUUAAGUGAUUUGCUGUUAUAUGUUUUUGUGAUAUAUAUAGUUAAUUAUAAUCAAGUGAAGAUUACUUGUUUAAAGUGAUUAUGUAAAGUAUUAUUUUAAGUUCAAAAGAGUGCAAGCCUGUGUUGCUACUUUGUCUGUAUUCGAAAGUUUGAUCCAGAUGUUGGUAAAACAUAGAACAUAAACAUAUUUUUUAUUACAUUGAUUUAAAACUUAAGCAAAGUUGUUUAACUAAUAUUGUUAACUUGAAUAAAUUUUCAAACAUUUAUCGGCUUUUUCAUGAAAUAAGACAAACUACAGUAUUGUU